GAUCCUGGCUCAGGACGAACGCUGGCGGCGUGCUUAACACAUGCAAGUCGAACGGGGAAUUUCUUCGGAUAUUCCUAGUGGCGAACGGGUGAGUAACGCGUAGGCAACCUGCCCUUCAGACGGGGACAACAUUCCGAAAGGGAUGCUAAUACCGGAUACGCAGGAGGGGUCGCAUGACCCUUUCUGGAAAGACGGCCUCUUCACAAUGCUGUCGCUGAAGGAUGGGCCUGCGUCCGAUUAGCUUGUUGGCGGGGUAACGGCCCACCAAGGCGACGAUCGGUAGCCGGUCUGAGAGGAUGAACGGCCACAUUGGGACUGAGACACGGCCCAGACUCCUACGGGAGGCAGCAGUGGGGAAUCUUCCGCAAUGGGCGAAAGCCUGACGGAGCAACGCCGCGUGAGUGAAGAAGGCCUUCGGGUUGUAAAGCUCUGUUGUCCAUGACGAACGGGUCCGGCAGUAACUGGCGGGACAGUGACGGUAGUGGACGAGGAAGCCACGGCUAACUACGUGCC
This 513-nucleotide ribosomal RNA is filed under the name uncultured organism. RNAcentral describes it as "SSU rRNA". It matches the Rfam family "Bacterial small subunit ribosomal RNA", at positions 15 to 509 of the family's 1533-position model. The record is from RNAcentral.